GACGAACGCUGGCGGCGUGCUUAACACAUGCAAGUCGAACGAAGUGGCGAACGGGUGAGUAACGCGUAAUCAACCUGCCCUUCAGAGGGGGACAACAGUGGGAAACGACUGCUAAUACGGCAUACGGAAGGAGGGGAUGGCGGCGGAUUUGCUAUUUGGAGGGGUAACGGCCUACUAAGGCGAUGGUCAGUAGGCUGUCUGAGGGGAUGGACCGCCACAUUGGGACUGGGCAACGGCCCCGGCUCCCUCGGGAGGGAGCAGGGGGGAAUCUUCCGACAUGGACGAAAGUCUGACGGAGCCACGCCGCGUGAGUGGUGGCGGCCUUCGGGUUGUAAAGCUCUGUUCAUCGGGGCGCGUUACCGGCAUAGAAAGCACCGGCUAACUACGUGCCAGCAGCCGCGGUAAUUC
Molecule: ribosomal RNA, 408 nt
Filed under: uncultured bacterium
Lineage: Bacteria
Description: partial 16S ribosomal RNA
Rfam family: Bacterial small subunit ribosomal RNA
Source: RNAcentral